UCGCAUCUGUGCAUGCAGCAUAUCAAUAAGCGGAGGAAAAGAAACUAACAAGGAUUCCCUUAGUAACGGCGAGUGAAGCGGGAAGAGCUCAAAUUUGAAAUCUUCAAGGUUUUACCUUGACGAAUUGUAGUUUAAAGAAGUGUUUUCUGUUGAAGUUUUGGUAAAAGUUCUUUGGAAUAGGACAUCAUAGAGGGUGAGAAUCCCGUAUUUGACCGUUAUUUUCAGCUGUGUGAUACACUUUCAAAGAGUCGGAUUGUUUGGGAAUGCAGUCCAAAAUGGGUGGUAAAUUUCAUCUAAAGCUAAAUAUUGGCGAGAGACCGAUUAGCGAACAAGUACCGUGAGGGAAAGAUGAAAAGAACUUUGAAAAGAGAGUUAAACAGUACGUGAAAUUGUCAAAAGGGAAGCGUUUGACACCAGUGUUGUUUUCUCGAAAAUCAAUUAAAAAGAGUUAGAUUUUGUUGUGUAUUGACCUUAACAGCUUGCAUUUCAAUUUUCUUGCUUUUUUUAAUGCACUUUUCGUUUAACAAGUCAACAUCAGUUUCUUUUGUUGUAAAAAGGGUCAUUGGAAGGUGGCUUUCUUUUCGGAGAAAGUGUUUAUAGCCUUUGACUCCUGCAAUCGGAGAGACUGAGGUCUGCAGCGUAGAUCCUUCGGGGUUAGAUACAUUUGUGCUAAGUUAUAGCUUUUUAUAGACAACUUGUUGACUAUGAUUAGUCUUGUAGCUUACUCGCUUAUGCUAUUUUACCUACGCUUAGGAUGUUGACACACGCGCGUGCUCG
Molecule: ribosomal RNA, 777 nt
Filed under: uncultured Neocallimastigales
Lineage: Eukaryota; Fungi; Neocallimastigomycota; Neocallimastigomycetes; Neocallimastigales
Description: partial large subunit ribosomal RNA
Rfam family: Eukaryotic large subunit ribosomal RNA
Source: RNAcentral